This is a long non-coding RNA of Neltuma alba, 228 nucleotides long. RefSeq lists it as uncharacterized. Lineage: Eukaryota; Viridiplantae; Streptophyta; Magnoliopsida; Fabales; Fabaceae. The transcript is spliced from 3 exons. The record is from RefSeq and is a predicted model, not a curated record.
AUUGACACAGAAUUUUUGGAAGUGUUGGCCUUCAGCAAAACUCCUAAUUCGGACUUAAUGACGAAGUCAGGGUUAUUCAUCUUGUGCAUGCUGCGCCCCCUUUCUUUUGACGUCCAAGUGCAAGAACAGGAGAUAGGAGCUGCCCAGUGGAUGCCUUUUAAGGAAUAUGCAGCUCAGCCAUUCAAUGAGAAGAACAAGUUUGUGAAGCAGAUGGAUGAAGUGUGCAGG